Molecule: ribosomal RNA, 497 nt
Filed under: uncultured bacterium
Lineage: Bacteria
Description: partial 16S ribosomal RNA
Rfam family: Bacterial small subunit ribosomal RNA
Source: RNAcentral
GAUGAACGCUGGCGGCGCGCCUAAUACAUGCAAGUCGAGCGAACGGACGAGAAGCUUGCUUCUCUGAUGUUAGCGGCGGACGGGUGAGUAACACGUGGAUAACCUACCUAUAAGACUGGGAUAACUUCGGGAAACCGGAGCUAAUACCGGAUGAUAUUUUGAACCGCAUGGUUCAAAAGUGAAAGACGGUCUUGCUGUCACUUAUAGAUGGAUCCGCGCUGCAUUAGCUAGUUGGUAAGGUAACGGCUUACCGAGGCAACGAUGCAUAGCCGACCUGAGAGGGUGAUCGGCCACACUGGAACUGAGACACGGUCCAGACUCCUACGGGAGGCAGCAGUAGGGAAUCUUCCGCAAUGGGCGAAAGCCUGACGGAGCAACGCCGCGUGAGUGAUGAAGGUCUUCGGAUCGUAAAACUCUGUUAUUAGGGAAGAACAUAUGUGUAAGUAACUGUGCACAUCUUGACGGUACCUAAUCAGAAAGCCACGGCUAACUACGUG